CUCUCCCCCAGGAGCAAAAGGGGUCUUAUAUAUGGUGAAAUUCUUGUCUGUGGCCCACGAGAAAGGGGCUGUUCUGGGGUGAGAGAGAUUCUGACCUGUGAUCAUUCUGACUUGUGAUAACAAAAGACCUAAACACUUUCAAGGGCUCUACCAAGACUCUUCCCACACCAUCAGGUCUGAGGGAAGUAGCCUAAAAGGAGUAGAGCGCACUAAGGAAGGAGCUUGACCUCCCUGUUCAUUUCAAUGAAGCAGCUUCAACAGAGUAAAAGCAGAUCUGUUUUUGGGGAGGGUGAAAAAGGAGAAAGACACAAUCGUCCUCCAACAUUGCCAGAUAUAACAAACAUCUACAGAUGGGUCGGUCUGCAGCUGAGCAGCUUGCUUUAACUUUGUAAUAUUUAUUUGAAAUAUCCAAGCCAGCAGAGCAAGGCUGAAACAGAGUGGGCACGACUCACGAUGUUUUGGCACGGGAACCGGUCGUAGUUGAACUUAGUUUGUUCAGCUCAGAUGGAAUUUAUGCAGAUGUGCCUUGCACUAAAUAC
This is a long non-coding RNA of Tachyglossus aculeatus (Australian echidna), 539 nucleotides long. RefSeq lists it as uncharacterized. The transcript is spliced from 3 exons. NCBI's taxonomy places the organism in Eukaryota, Metazoa, Chordata, Mammalia, Monotremata, Tachyglossidae. The record is from RefSeq and is a predicted model, not a curated record.